CUCAAAGGAAUUGACGGGGACCCGCACAAGCGGUGGAUGAUGUGGAUUAAUUCGAUGCAACGCGAAAAACCUUACCUACCCUUGACAUGUCUGGAAUCCUGAAGAGAUUUGGGAGUGCCCGAAAGGGAACCGGAACACAGGUGCUGCAUGGCUGUCGUCAGCUCGUGUCGUGAGAUGUUGGGUUAAGUCCCGCAACGAGCGCAACCCUUGUCGUUAAUUGCCAUCAUUAAGUUGGGCACUUUAACGAGACUGCCGGUGACAAACCGGAGGAAGGUGGGGAUGACGUCAAGUCCUCAUGGCCCUUAUGGGUAGGGCUUCACACGUAAUACAAUGGUCGGUACAGAGGGUUGCCAACCCGCGAGGGGGAGCCAAUCCCAGAAAGCCGAUCGUAGUCCGGAUUGCAGUCUGCAACUCGACUGCUGAAAGUCGGAAUCGCUAGUAAUCGCGGAUCAGCAUGUGGCGGUGAAUACGUUCCCGGGCCUUGUACACACCGGCCGUCACACUG
RNAcentral lists this ribosomal RNA (505 nucleotides) under uncultured beta proteobacterium Kmlps0-24. Its description in RNAcentral is "bacterial SSU rRNA". It matches the Rfam family "Bacterial small subunit ribosomal RNA", at positions 900 to 1404 of the family's 1533-position model. The record is from RNAcentral. Lineage: Bacteria; Pseudomonadati; Pseudomonadota; Betaproteobacteria.